UUGAGAAAAGGGAAUGAAGCUCUCCCAUGAUAGAAUUAUCAAAACCGCAAUUUGCUGAUGGCUUCUGUAUAUUU
RNAcentral lists this non-coding RNA (74 nucleotides) under Lacrimispora celerecrescens. Its description in RNAcentral is "Clostridium celerecrescens Fluoride sequence". It matches the Rfam family "Fluoride riboswitch aptamer (crcB RNA motif)". The record is from RNAcentral. Lineage: Bacteria; Bacillati; Bacillota; Clostridia; Lachnospirales; Lachnospiraceae.